GGCCCUACGGGGUGCAGCAGGCGCGAAACCUCCGCAAUGUGAGAAAUCGCGACGGGGGGAUCCCAAGUGCCAUUCUUAACGGGAUGGCUUUUCAUUAGUGUAAAGAGCUUUUGGAAUAAGAGCUGGGCAAGACCGGUGCCAGCCGCCGCGGUAACACCGGCAGCUCUAGUGGUAGCAGUUUUUAUUGGGCCUAAAGCGUCCGUAGCCGGUUUAAUAAGUCUCUGGUGAAAUCCUGCGGCUUAACUGUGGGAAUUGCUGGAGAUACUAUUAGACUUGAGAUCGGGAGAGGUUAGAGGUACUCCCAGGGUAGAGGUGAAAUUCUGUAAUCCUGGGAGGACCGCCUGUUGCGAAGGCGUCUGACUGGAACGAUUCUGACGGUGAGGGACGAAAGCUAGGGGCGCGAACCGGAUUAGAUACCCGGGUAGUCCUAGCUGUAAACGAUGCGGACUUGGUGUUGGGGUGGCUUUGAGCUGUCCCAGUGCCGAAGGGAAGCUGUUAAGUCCGCCGCCUGGGAAGUACGGUCGCAAGGCUGAAACUUAAAGGAAUUGGCGGGGGAGCACCACAACGCGUGGAGCCUGCGGUUUAAUUGGAGUCAACGCCGG
Molecule: ribosomal RNA, 602 nt
Filed under: uncultured archaeon
Lineage: Archaea
Description: bacterial SSU rRNA
Rfam family: Archaeal small subunit ribosomal RNA
Source: RNAcentral